AAGUUACAGUUUGUGCAGAAAUAAAUGCUUCAGCUCCUCAACACCAACAGAGGUUUCCCGCGUCUUGUGUCCCGGCGGCUGAUUGGAGUGACGGUGGGGUAAACUCUGGAGCGAG
Sebastes umbrosus (honeycomb rockfish) is the source of this 115-nucleotide long non-coding RNA. RefSeq lists it as uncharacterized. Lineage: Eukaryota; Metazoa; Chordata; Actinopteri; Perciformes; Sebastidae. The transcript is spliced from 3 exons. The record is from RefSeq and is a predicted model, not a curated record.